GUGGGUGUAGCUCAGACGGUCAGAGCACCAGGUUGUGGCCCUGGGGGUCAAGGGUUCGAGUCCCUUCACCCACCCCA
This 77-nucleotide transfer RNA is filed under the name Clostridia bacterium. RNAcentral describes it as "tRNA-His". It matches the Rfam family "tRNA". From Rfam's summary of the family: Transfer RNA (tRNA) molecules are approximately 80 nucleotides in length. Lineage: Bacteria; Bacillati; Bacillota; Clostridia. The record is from RNAcentral.